Molecule: long non-coding RNA, 298 nt
Filed under: Panax ginseng (ginseng)
Lineage: Eukaryota; Viridiplantae; Streptophyta; Magnoliopsida; Apiales; Araliaceae
Description: long non-coding RNA (PGIN_LNC012344)
Source: RNAcentral
UAGGCGCUUAUGUGCGGCUAAAAAGGGAUUUGGCUACCGAUGAGUUGGUUUUCGAAGCCAAAAAGGAAUCUGAAUGAGGGUUUUAACUAAUACGAAUAGGAGAAGACUUUAGAAAAGAUGUAUAAAGGAAAUUAUCAAGUCAAUUACAGGGAGAACAACGAUGAAAAACACAAAAGAGAAUUGCAAGGGAUGAAUAUCAAAGAGAGGGUAUUGGAGUAAAUUCAAAGUUUCUUCUUCUCUUCUCUAGUUUUAUCUUUUGUAAUUACUUGGGAUGUUUGGAUUAUUAAUCUGGAUGGUG